Molecule: ribosomal RNA, 542 nt
Filed under: Drosophila busckii
Lineage: Eukaryota; Metazoa; Arthropoda; Insecta; Diptera; Drosophilidae
Description: SSU rRNA
Rfam family: Eukaryotic small subunit ribosomal RNA
Source: RNAcentral
UUAUAUGCUUGUCUCAAAGAUUAAGCCAUGCAUGUCUAAGUACACACGAAUUAACAGUGAAACCGCAAAAGGCUCAUUAUAUCAGUUAUGGUUCCUUAGAUCGUUAACAGUUACUUGGAUAACUGUGGUAAUUCUAGAGCUAAUACAUGCAAUUAAAACACGAACCUUUUGGGACGUGUGCUUUUAUUAGGCUAAAACCAAGCGAUCGCAAGAUCGUUAUAUUGGUUGAACUCUAGAUAACAUGCAGAUCGUAUGGUCUUGUACCGACGACAGAUCUUUCAAAUGUCUGCCCUAUCAACUUUUGAUGGUAGUAUCUAGGACUACCAUGGUUGCAACGGGUAACGGGGAAUCAGGGUUCGAUUCCGGAGAGGGAGCCUGAGAAACGGCUACCACAUCUAAGGAAGGCAGCAGGCGCGUAAAUUACCCACUCCCAGCUCGGGGAGGUAGUGACGAAAAAUAACAAUACAGGACUCAUAUCCGAGGCCCUGUAAUUGGAAUGAGUACACUUUAAAUCCUUUAACAAGGACCUAUUGGAGGGCAAG